Molecule: ribosomal RNA, 305 nt
Filed under: uncultured bacterium
Lineage: Bacteria
Description: bacterial SSU rRNA
Rfam family: Bacterial small subunit ribosomal RNA
Source: RNAcentral
UCCUACGGGACGCAGCAGUGGGGAAUAUUGCACAAUGGGGGAAACCCUGAUGCAGCGACGCCGCGUGGGCGAGGAAGUACCUCGGUAUGUAAAGCCCUAUCAGCAGGGAAGAAACAGGACAGUAUCUAACCAGAAAGCCACGGCUAACUACGUGCCAGCAGCCGCGGUAAUACGUAGGUGGCAAGCGUUAUCCGGAUUUAUUGGGCGUAAAGGGAACGCAGGCGGUCUUUUAAGUCUGAUGUGAAAGCCUUCGGCUUAACCGGAGUAGUGCAUUGGAAACUGGGAGACUUGAGUGCAGAAGAGGG